CACGUAGGCGGAUUGUUAAGUCGGGGGUGAAAUCCUGGAGCUCAACUCCAGAACUGCCUUCGAUACUGGCGAUCUCGAGUUCGGGAGAGGUGAGUGGAACUGCGAGUGUAGAGGUGAAAUUCGUAGAUAUUCGCAAGAACACCAGUGGCGAAGGCGGCUCACUGGCCCGAUACUGACGCUGAGGUGCGAAAGCGUGGGGAGCAAACA
Molecule: ribosomal RNA, 207 nt
Filed under: uncultured bacterium
Lineage: Bacteria
Description: partial 16S ribosomal RNA
Rfam family: Bacterial small subunit ribosomal RNA
Source: RNAcentral